This 289-nucleotide ribosomal RNA is filed under the name Bacillus anthracis str. Carbosap. RNAcentral describes it as "partial 16S ribosomal RNA". It matches the Rfam family "Bacterial small subunit ribosomal RNA", at positions 1 to 277 of the family's 1533-position model. The record is from RNAcentral. Lineage: Bacteria; Bacillati; Bacillota; Bacilli; Caryophanales; Bacillaceae.
UUUAUUGGAGAGUUUGAUCCUGGCUCAGGAUGAACGCUGGCGGCGUGCCUAAUACAUGCAAGUCGAGCGAAUGGAUUAAGAGCUUGCUCUUAUGAAGUUAGCGGCGGACGGGUGAGUAACACGUGGGUAACCUGCCCAUAAGACUGGGAUAACUCCGGGAAACCGGGGCUAAUACCGGAUAACAUUUUGAACCGCAUGGUUCGAAAUUGAAAGGUGGCUUCGGCUGCCACUUAUGGAUGGACCCGCGUCGCAUUAGCUAGUUGGUGAGGUAACGGCUCACCAAGGCAAU